CAGUAGCCGCGGUAAUACGGAGGGUGCAAGCGUUAAUCGGAAUUACUGGGCGUAAAGCGCACGCAGGCGGUUUGUUAAGUCAGAUGUGAAAUCCCCGAGCUUAACUUGGGAACUGCAUUUGAAACUGGCAAGCUAGAGUCUUGUAGAGGGGGGUAGAAUUUCAGGUGUAGCGGUGAAAUGCGUAGAGAUCUGGAGGAAUACCGGUGGCGAAGGCGGCCCCCUGGACGAAGACUGACGCUCAGGUACGAAAGCGUGGGGAGCAAACAGGAUUAGAUACCCGUGUAGUCCCUGUCUCUUAUAC
Molecule: ribosomal RNA, 301 nt
Filed under: uncultured bacterium
Lineage: Bacteria
Description: partial 16S ribosomal RNA
Rfam family: Bacterial small subunit ribosomal RNA
Source: RNAcentral